AUACGUAGGGUGCAAGCGUUAAUCGGAAUUACUGGGCGUAAAGCGUGCGCAGGCGGUUUUGUAAGACAGAGGGGAAAUCCCCGGGCUCAACCUGGGGACUGCCUUUGUGACUGCACGGCUAGAGUACGGCAGAGGGGGAUGGAAUUCCGCGUGUAGCAGUGAAAUGCGUAGAUAUGCGGAGGAACACCGAUGGCGAAGGCAAUCCCCUGGGCCUGUACUGACGCUCAUGCACGAAAGCGUGGGGAGCAAACAGGAUUAGAUACCCUGGUAGUCCACGCCCUAAACGAUGUCAACUGGUUGUUGGGUCUUCAUUGACUCAGUAACGAAGCUAACGCGUGAAGUUGACCGCCUGGGGAGUACGGCCGCAAGGUUGAAACUCAAAUGAAUUGACGGGG
This 395-nucleotide ribosomal RNA is filed under the name uncultured bacterium. RNAcentral describes it as "partial 16S ribosomal RNA". It matches the Rfam family "Bacterial small subunit ribosomal RNA", at positions 523 to 918 of the family's 1533-position model. The record is from RNAcentral.